CCUACGGGAGGCAGCAGUGAGGAAUAUUGGUCAAUGGGCGCUAGCCUGAACCAGCCAAGUAGCGUGAAGGAUGACUGCCCUAUGGGUUGUAAACUUCUUUUAUAUGGGAAUAAAGUGCAGUAUGUAUACUGCUUUGCAUGUACCUUAUGAAUAAGGAUCGGCUAACUCCGUGCCAGCAGCCGCGGUAAUACGGAGGCUCCGAGCGUUAUCCGGAUUUAUUGGGUUUAAAUGGAGCGUAGAUGGGUUGUUAAGUCAGUUGUGAAAGUUUGCGGCGCAACCGUAAAAUGGCAAUUGAUACUGGCAGUCUUGAGUAAAGUUGAGGUAAGCGGAAUGCUGGGUGUAGCGGGGAAAUGCUUAGUUAUCACGAAGAACCCCGAUUGCGAAGGCAGCUUACGAAACUGUGACUGACAUUGAUGCUCGAAAGGGUGGGUAUCAAACAGGAUUAGAUACCCGGUAGUC
Molecule: ribosomal RNA, 459 nt
Filed under: uncultured bacterium
Lineage: Bacteria
Description: partial 16S ribosomal RNA
Rfam family: Bacterial small subunit ribosomal RNA
Source: RNAcentral